GGGGCCGACCGGUUUUGACAGCAGGGACAGUUGGGAGGUAAGCACGUCGAGCGUUGGAUGGAGGCUCGUUAAACUGAAUGUCCAAAAAAUUAAUUGGCAAUAAUAGCUACGCACUCGCUGCUUAAUUUUCAAGGAAAAUUAGCUUAAUUUCUGCGCCCAAGGCUGGUGCGGAAACGAGUAUCCCGCCUUUGACACCCGCCUUUUGUGUCGCUGGCAACGGGGUAUCAUCUAUUUAAGGCUCGCCCGACGGAGUGUCUUGGCCCGAGGGUUAGAAAUUAAAGACUGGGACUGAUGUUUGGUUGCCGCCUACCGUGCGUCAGGAGAAGGAUUAAAGGUUGGCUAAGCGUGUAGAAAGCCUUUGGGCUGCCUGUUUGGACGAGGGUUCGAUUCCCUCCGGCUCCACAA
RNAcentral lists this transfer-messenger RNA (405 nucleotides) under Rikenellaceae. RNAcentral describes it as "Tidjanibacter sp017631375 Standard tmRNA". It matches the Rfam family "transfer-messenger RNA". Rfam says of the family: Bacterial tmRNA, also known as 10Sa RNA or SsrA, is named for its dual tRNA and mRNA-like properties. Its role is to liberate the mRNA from a stalled ribosome. RNAcentral also lists the same sequence under 1 other name. The record is from RNAcentral. Lineage: Bacteria; Pseudomonadati; Bacteroidota; Bacteroidia; Bacteroidales.